UAGAGUUUGAUCCUGGCUCAGAUUGAACGCUGGCGGCAGGCCUAACACAUGCAAGUCGAGCGGUAGCACAGAGAGCUUGCUCUCGGGUGACGAGCGGCGGACGGGUGAGUAAUGUCUGGGAAACUGCCUGAUGGAGGGGGAUAACUACUGGAAACGGUAGCUAAUACCGCAUAAUGUCGCAAGACCAAAGUGGGGGACCUUCGGGCCUCAUGCCAUCAGAUGUGCCCAGAUGGGAUUAGCUAGUAGGUGGGGUAAUGGCUCACCUAGGCGACGAUCCCUAGCUGGUCUGAGAGGAUGACCAGCCACACUGGAACUGAGACACGGUCCAGACUCCUACGGGAGGCAGCAGUGGGGAAUAUUGCACAAUGGGCGCAAGCCUGAUGCAGCCAUGCCGCGUGUAUGAAGAAGGCCUUCGGGUUGUAAAGUACUUUCAGCGAGGAGGAAGGCAUUAAGGUUAAUAACCUUGGUGAUUGACGUUACUCGCAGAAGAAGCACCGGCUAACUCCGUGCCAGCAGCCGCGGUAAUACGGAGGGUGCAAGCGUUAAUCGGAAUUACUGGGCGUAAAGCGCACGCAGGCGGUCUGUCAAGUCGGAUGUGAAAUCCCCGGGCUCAACCUGGGAACUGCAUUCGAAACUGGCAGGCUAGAGUCUUGUAGAGGGGGGUAGAAUUCCAGGUGUAGCGGUGAAAUGCGUAGAGAUCUGGAGGAAUACCGGUGGCGAAGGCGGCCCCCUGGACAAAGACUGACGCUCAGGUGCGAAAGCGUGGGGAGCAAACAGGAUUAGAUACCCUGGUAGUCCACGCCGUAAACGAUGUCGACUUGGAGGUUGUGCCCUUGAGGCGUGGCUUCCGGAGCUAACGCGUUAAGUCGACCGCCUGGGGAGUACGGCCGCAAGGUUAAAACUCAAAUGAAUUGACGGGGGCCCGCACAAGCGGUGGAGCAUGUGGUUUAAUUCGAUGCAACGCGAAGAACCUUACCUACUCUUGACAUCCAGAGAACUUAGCAGAGAUGCUUUGGUGCCUUCGGGAACUCUGAGACAGGUGCUGCAUGGCUGUCGUCAGCUCGUGUUGUGAAAUGUUGGGUUAAGUCCCGCAACGAGCGCAACCCUUAUCCUUUGUUGCCAGCGAUUCGGUCGGGAACUCAAAGGAGACUGCCAGUGAUAAACUGGAGGAAGGUGGGGAUGACGUCAAGUCAUCAUGGCCCUUACGAGUAGGGCUACACACGUGCUACAAUGGCAUAUACAAAGAGAAGCGACCUCGCGAGAGCAAGCGGACCUCAUAAAGUAUGUCGUAGUCCGGAUUGGAGUCUGCAACUCGACUCCAUGAAGUCGGAAUCGCUAGUAAUCGUAGAUCAGAAUGCUACGGUGAAUACGUUCCCGGGCCUUGUACACACCGCCCGUCACACCAUGGGAGUGGGUUGCAAAAGAAGUAGGUAGCUUAACCUUCGGGAGGGCGCUUACCACUUUGUGAUUCAUGACUGGGGUGAAGUCGUAACAAGGUA
RNAcentral lists this ribosomal RNA (1499 nucleotides) under uncultured soil bacterium. RNAcentral's name for it is "16S ribosomal RNA". It matches the Rfam family "Bacterial small subunit ribosomal RNA". The record is from RNAcentral.